GGAACGCGCUGGACUGUGUGGUCCCAGCUUCUCUUUGCUGAACACCUGAGACACUAAAGCACCUUUUCCUUAGGGAGCCUCUGCAGCCAAGCUGGAAUGUCAAGCCUACCUCCCACAUCCCUGACUUCCAGGAGCUCUCUCUGGACCAGCGGGACCCUGCCCCACCCUACAGUCUGGUGGGCAGGAGCUGUUUAUGUGCACAGCAUGAGGAGGUACUGUCUCCCAUGGCACCAAGCAGGUGAUGUCUCUUCUGGAAAGUUCCUGAGAGUUGUCUGUGUUGGGACCUGGGUGCAGAGGAGAGGGUAGCCUAGCUCUGCCUCUGGUGGUGCCCCCUGUUCCCAUGUUCAGCAGCUUCUGCAAGCCCUUGUGGUCUCUGAGGGCACUGAUAACGAGUCUCCUUCCUCAGGAAUUUCCUGCUCUAGGGACAGUGCCUGCCUCAGCGAGUUCUCAUAGUCCAGGGCCAGGAGCAGGAGGUGCCUGUGGACUGCGGCUUCCUGUCCGGGGAGGCAGGAAAUCCCCAAGGAACUUUAGAGGAGUCAAGUUCCUGGCCUGUGUCUCCCUUCAGUAGAGCAGGGGUGGGUAGGUGACUCUGGAGUAGGAAUGAACACUCAAGACACACUUGAUCUGAGGAGCCCUUGGGUAUUGUAGGUGACUUAUUUUCCCAGACCUGUCCAUUGGGCCCCAGGAAGGGUCUGCAUACCCCACAGAGCCCCCUCCCGACUCCCUGGAGCCAGGCACGGGCACCCUGCACUCUUGAGCCAGCAGAUCAUGGUGGGCCCUGAGCAAGGAGGGAGCACCAUGUGGUGCUGGGCCUGCUCCUAGGGGCUGGUCUGCAGCCUGUGCCUCUUCCCUUCCCAGGUACCACUAGCCCCUGGGGCAGACGGGUCACUCCUUAUCGUAGUACCCCUGCAGAUGCCUCUGCCAGAGCCAAGCCACAUGUCUCCAGCUUGUGUCCCCAUGCUUCCUGAUCCCAGGUGAGGGUGAGGGUCAGCUAAAUGACCAUGUGAGGACAACUGGCACAUUGCAGCUUACAGUAGCCUGCUCAGCCCCUCAGGCCUGAGGCAGAAGUCCACUUUUCCUAGGCUUCCAGGUAGACAUGUCCUGACUGGCCACUCCAGGCGCCGUGCUCCCAGACAUCUGCCAUCCUUGUGGCUAGCCAGAGGCCAGCAGGACGUGUACGUACAUGUACACUGGGUGUGAGUGACACAUGUGUGUGGGUCACUGCUGAGUGUGGUGGUCAGUGCUGAGGGCUCCAUGGAAGCUCCGGACCCCUGCCUUCCCAGUCUCAAGUGCCACAAGCUCUGACACGGUGGCCGCGCUCCUAGGAGCCGUGUGCUGCCCUGCUCCGCAUGCCUCACGGUGUGGCUGUAUUCGGUGAAUUUCCAUAGAGGUGUCCGAGGUAAAAUGAGGUCAUCAGAGUGAGCCAUAGGAGGACACCCAGAGAGGACAGAGUGCACGUGUGUCCAGGAGAAACCAACCCCACCCACAUCUUGACCUUAGACUCCAGCCCCAGAGCCGCGAGGAGGGACUUUUCUGUCACUUUACCCCUGCCCUCGGCAUUCACUGGGCAGCUGGAGGCCCUCCCAGUGUGGCUGCUGUUCUCUCUGGGACCCCAUCCUGUUCACAGGCCCCCACCCCCACGUGGAAUGAUGCUGGCAGUCUCCUCCCUGAAGAGCUCUGCUCAGCUCCGGCCGUGUCACUGCUUCCUGGUCACAGCAGAGGUGGACCCGAGGCUCUCUGCACCAGGGUCUGAGGUGGAAGGCUGCAUGCUCUGACUGACGGGGGACGAGGAGGGAUGGACAGGGAGGCACCAAGCUGCCCUCAGAGCACCCCUGCGGUCAGCACGAGCCCCACCCUAAGCCUGCCCUAAAGUGCCCACACAAGAGCCCCCCCCAUGCUGCCAGAACUUGAAGGCAACCACAAAGAGGCCUCUGUGGGCCGAGCUUCCUCAGGAGCCCACAGCAGCUCCCUGUCCAAGCUUGGGGUCUGGAAAUAGGAGUGGAAAUGUCCCUAGUGCUCUGCCAGACAAUAGGAGGCCCUCUCCCAGGAUUCUGUGCAUGGACCAUGUUCAGGCUGGUGGCUCCAGGAGGAAAAUGAAGGAGACUGCCACUGACACCCACCAGACAUGGCCUGGACUCCUGCCAGGUGUUGCUGCAAGGAUCCCAAGGCCAGGUGGGAAGGUACGUGCCUUCUUGAUACAUGUACAGGUGGCUGUGGUCACCUGGACUGGAAGAGGGGACAAGGGCUUCCUGCAUCAUAGUGUGGGGUACACCUGACUUUCUCCAACAGGCCAAGCUCUGCACACCCCUCCUCUGGGUGUCCUUGGGCUGGCUGGGCUGGCUUCUGUGAGCUCAGGUCAGGGAUAAUCUCUGCUGACCACACUUGUGCCCGAGGAGUUCGUCCAGCCCUGCCAGGCCCUUGUCCUUCUGGCUUCGGGCCUCUGCUAUGGGCAGGGGUCUUAGCCUGUGCUCAUGCCCCCUGCCUGGCAGACAGAGCACUGGGGCCCAGGGCAGGGAGAGGGGUGGUCUGUUUCCUAACAGCUUGCCAUGGUGGCAGCUGAACCAGGUGUUCGGGACAGCGGCAGCUCAAGGCAGAGAAUCUCUGCCACCACCAGUUGCUGUCACGCAUGUGGGGAUGUGCCAGUUAGGUCUGCGGUUACCUUCGCCCCAUCCAGGAGACCCCGGAGUUUGCACACACUGCAAGGCUGAGGGCCGCAGGCCCUGGUGCUGGACCUGGGGGGCCCAGCAGUCACUGGAGUGGAGAAAGCAAGGGUGAGGACCACUGGGGCAACCAAGUGCUCAGGAGAAAAGGACAGAGGCUGAAGGCCAGGCAACAGACAGGCAGCAUCUCUAGCUCAGCUGUAAUGGCCUGCCCUGUCCCAGAUGUGGGAAGACUGGUACUUAGUGGCUUUGGCACCUGCAGCCCUGUCCCUGGCCAGGGUACCUGCAGGGUUCUGGUCUCAGGUCUGGCCAUAUCACCUGCUAGAGCUGGGUCCUGGCCCAGAGAAAGAGGCCAUGCUCCCAGAAAGGCGUUGCCCCAGUUUCUCUGCCCCCACCCCAUGUCACCAGACUGGUGAGGUGUUCCCUAGGGUGACCAGGUCUUUUCCCCAGCAAGCGCCUAGCCACCUGAACUCUUCCAGAAAGGGAAGUGAGGCCUAGAGGGGGCAGGUGCAGGUCUCUGGCCCUGUGUGAGGACUGCCCACUGCAGCACCCUCUUCUGAUGUCUGGAGGCCUGGGGAGCCACCCCAGAGGCCCUCCCCAGGGGCAUCAGCCUCUGGGGGCUCGGCUCAGGUACAGUGGUCCUCCUCCCCAGGUGUUCCAUUCUUGGCAGGAGGUAACCCUAGGGAGGUGGAAACGCGGCAAGCUGCACGAGGCUCAGCUAUCUACUACAUCUCCUUUUACCUGCUGCAGCAAGAGCUGCUCUCUGCAUGUCAGGUCCCUUCAUAUGGAGGUGGAGUUGUGCGUCCUUGGAGCCAUGGCGUGCACCAAGGCCUGGACACCAGAGGCUGCCGAGAAGCCAGGCUUGAGGGAAGAGUGCAAGAGGUUGCUGCUAACAGGCUCCCUAGCCCCUCAGGAGGCUAGAGCUGGAGGAUAGCAAGUUCAAGACCAGCCUCGGCAAUGUAGCAAUAUCGUGCCUCAAAAAAUAAGAAGGGCUGGAGGUGUAGCUCAGUGGUCGAGUGCUUGCCUGGCAUGCACAAGGUGCUGGAUGCAGCUCUCACACUCACACAUGCGUACACAAAUGCACGCGAGGCUCUGGGGCUUCAUGUGGGUAGAAGGCCUUUGUGUGCAUAGCCAGGCCCCUCUGAGGGGUGAAGGGCCAGGCUUUUGCCUGGGGAGCUGUGUGACACAAUUCAGAGCCUUCAGGGACCCAGUUCUACAGCCAGAUCCCAGGCUGGGGGGACGCAGGUGCCCAGGCAGAGAUGGAGCUCAGAGCUUCUCCAGCCGUCUGCUAAGCCGCUCCGCAGCAGUGUGAAGUCAGAAUCGUGAGACUGAAAGUGGGGCCUGCUGGGAGGCACCUAAUCACUCCCUGACGCCUGCGUCUGUGCCAAGAGCAGGUCUGCUCCCCACUCAGUCCCCGAGAGCCGGAGUCUUAGGCCUGGUGGGUGCUGGGCAGGUCCUGCUCUGUCUCUCCUGCCUACCCUCCAAUCUGUGCACCUCGGACCUCCAGUCUCAGGGUCCUUCCUUUUACCUUCUGUUCCCCCCAUGGUGGUGAUCACAGGCUGCGGCUGCGUGUAG
RNAcentral lists this long non-coding RNA (4235 nucleotides) under Marmota monax (woodchuck). The record is from RNAcentral. Lineage: Eukaryota; Metazoa; Chordata; Mammalia; Rodentia; Sciuridae.